Molecule: ribosomal RNA, 253 nt
Filed under: uncultured bacterium
Lineage: Bacteria
Description: partial 16S ribosomal RNA
Rfam family: Bacterial small subunit ribosomal RNA
Source: RNAcentral
UACGUACCGGACGAACGUUAUUCGGAAUUACUGGGCUUAAAGAGUGCGUAGGCGGUCUGACAGGUUGGGUGUGAAAUCCCUCGGCUCAACCGAGGAAUCGCGCCCAAUACCGUCGGGCUCGAGCGAGAUAGGGGUGAGCGGAACUGAUGGUGGAGCGGUGAAAUGCGUUGAUCUCAUCAGGAACACCGGUGGCGAAAGCGGCUCACUGGGUCUUCGCUGACGCUGAGGCACGAAAGCUAGGGGAGCAAACGGG